Molecule: ribosomal RNA, 456 nt
Filed under: uncultured organism
Description: partial 16S ribosomal RNA
Rfam family: Bacterial small subunit ribosomal RNA
Source: RNAcentral
ACGUACACUCCUGCGGGAGGCAGCAGUGGGGAAUAUUGGACAAUGGGCGCAAGCCUGAUCCAGCCAUGCCGCGUGAGUGAUGAAGGCCCUAGGGUUGUAAAGCUCUUUCACCGGUGAAGAUAAUGACGGUAACCGGAGAAGAAGCCCCGGCUAACUUCGUGCCAGCAGCCGCGGUAAUACGAAGGGGGCUAGCGUUGUUCGGAUUUACUGGGCGUAAAGCGCACGUAGGUGGACUAUUAAGUCAGGGGUGAAAUCCCGGGGCUCAACCCCGGAACUGCCUUUGAUACUGGUAGUCUUGAGUUCGAGAGAGGUGAGUGGAAUUCCGAGUGUAGAGGUGAAAUUCGUAGAUAUUCGGAGGAACACCAGUGGCGAAGGCGGCUCACUGGCUCGAUACUGACGCUGAGGUGCGAAAGCGUGGGGAGCAAACAGGAUUAGAUACCCCUGUAGUCCCAUGAU